UGGAGGGCAAGUCUGGUGCCAGCAGCCGCGGUAAUUCCAGCUCCAAUAGCGUAUAUUAAAGUUGUUGUGGUUAAAAAGCUCGUAGUUGAACCUUGGGCCUGGCUGGCCGGUCCGCCUCACCGCGUGCACUGGUUCGGCCGGGCCUUUCCCUCUGGGGAGCCUCAUGCCCUUCACUGGGUGUGUUGGGGAACCAGGACUUUUACUGUGAAAAAAUUAGAGUGUUCAAAGCAGGCCUAUGCUCGAAUACAUUAGCAUGGAAUAAUAGAAUAGGACGUGUGGUUCUAUUUUGUUGGUUUCUAGGACCGCCGUAAUGAUUAAUAGGGACAGUCGGGGGCAUUAGUAUUCAAUUGUCAGAGGUGAAAUUCUUGGAUUUAUUGAAGACUAACUACUGCGAAAGCAUUUGCCAAGGAUGUUUUCAUUAAUCAGGAACGAAAGUUAGGGGAUCGAAGACGAUCAGAUACCGUCGUAGUCUUAACCAUAAACUAUGCCGACUAGGGAUCGGACGGUGUUAUUUUUUGACCCGUUCGGCACCUUACGGGAAAC
RNAcentral lists this ribosomal RNA (543 nucleotides) under uncultured Fusarium. RNAcentral describes it as "SSU rRNA". It matches the Rfam family "Eukaryotic small subunit ribosomal RNA", at positions 549 to 1098 of the family's 1831-position model. Lineage: Eukaryota; Fungi; Ascomycota; Sordariomycetes; Hypocreales; Nectriaceae. The record is from RNAcentral.